Molecule: ribosomal RNA, 253 nt
Filed under: uncultured bacterium
Lineage: Bacteria
Description: partial 16S ribosomal RNA
Rfam family: Bacterial small subunit ribosomal RNA
Source: RNAcentral
UACGUAGGGGGCAAGCGUUGUCCGGAAUCAUUGGGCGUAAAGAGCGUGUAGGCGGCCCGGUAAGUCCGCUGUGAAAGUCGGGGGCUCAACCCUCGAAUGCCGGUGGAUACUGUCGGGCUAGAGUGCGGAAGAGGCGAGUGGAAUUCCUGGUGUAGCGGUGAAAUGCGCAGAUAUCAGGAGGAACACCAAUGGCGAAGGCAGCACUCUGGGACGUGACUGACGCUGAGACGCGAAAGCGUGGGGAGCAAACAGG